UGCAUAUAAAUCCAUAAAAUGGUUAUUUUUGCUAAUUUUCUGUUUAUGUUUUCGAUACUAUCCAAGUUGUAGUCAUGAAAAUUCCGAUUAUAAUAAUUAUAUUUUCCAUAUUUACGACGUAUGCAGAAUGUAUUGAAUGUACCGAAAAUUUUUGCCAUAUGGUUAGAUGUGGAGGUGCCGAUUGCAAAGAUACAGAAAUACUCGUUGAGAAAGGAGGUACCUGUGGAUGUUGCGAUGCAUGUUACACAAAAUUAUUUGAAGGAGACGUUUGUAAGCCUCGUUUUAAUGGCGGCGGAGCAUUUUUAGCUAGAUGCGUGGAUGGACUGAUUUGUGGUAAAUGUGGAAAAUGCAUAAAAAAAUGAAAAUAUUUCCUUAUUUAUAAAUAAAAAUAUAUUAAAAGUA
Long non-coding RNA from Diorhabda carinulata, 402 nucleotides. RefSeq lists it as uncharacterized. The transcript is spliced from 2 exons. NCBI's taxonomy places the organism in Eukaryota, Metazoa, Arthropoda, Insecta, Coleoptera, Chrysomelidae. The record is from RefSeq and is a predicted model, not a curated record.